GUAUUCGGAGCAUAGUUCUGACUUGGAGGGGGCAUAUUUGGGUUCUGAUAAUGGUUUCCACCAGAUGCAUAGUUCUGGUUUGGUCCUGGACCUGUUUGGUAAGGCAUGCCGCCCCCAUUGUUUGGUCCACCAUUAUAUUGAUUGUUUGGUGCUCCACCAUAGUUAUUGGGAGGUGCUCCACCAUAGUUUCUGGGAGGCCCUCCACCAUAGUUAGGCGGUGGCCCUCCCAUGCCAGGCUGGUGCAUCCCGCCCAUGUUGGGCUGCUGUUGCUGGUGCAUACCUCCCAUGUUAG
RNAcentral lists this long non-coding RNA (292 nucleotides) under Solanum lycopersicum (tomato). RNAcentral describes it as "long non-coding RNA (SLYC_LNC000734)". Lineage: Eukaryota; Viridiplantae; Streptophyta; Magnoliopsida; Solanales; Solanaceae. The record is from RNAcentral.